AAGGUUAUUAGGAUAUGGGGGAAGUAGAGAUGUUUGGAAAUAGUUUUUUUGGGGUGAUUCCGAUCUUCAUUUUUCUCACUCCAGUCCACUAGCAAACACCAAACAUGAAUCAGCAGCUGAAGUCCAGACACCACACACAAAUCAGUAAGGGCAGUUCAAUCCAGAAGAAACCUCAGGGCUUGCCAAUUGGCCCGAGUCCUCCAUAGAAGUGCUAAGAAGCUGCAGGGACCUCACAAAAUGUUCUCUGAAUGGAGUCUGGCGAGGAGAGAGCUGAGAGUCUGAGUGGAGAGAGAACACUUGAAGAAAACAAGACAAUUGCAAAUACAGAUUUGUUGCUGUUUUAAACCAAAACAAAAAAAAAUCAAGGACUUGUUCUUGGAGUAUAUUUUCGGGCUCCUCCCAGGUACAGCUGAUAGGAGUGAAUUUACUUCUUAUCACUCAUUACAGCUUGUUUUUGUUAUUUAAUUAAAUAUUUAAAGUAUUCUUUGUAUGCCUCUAAGGAAAAAUUGGUUUUUGCCAUGUGCAGCUUGUCCUUGUGAUUGUAUGCAGCUUGAACUUAUGAGAACUUUACUCAUGUAACCUUUCAUAACCCUCAGAGUAUAAAUUGUCUGGGGCUCUGAAUAAAGUUGGGUUUUGCAUAAGA
This 643-nucleotide small RNA is filed under the name Rattus norvegicus (Norway rat). Its description in RNAcentral is "uncharacterized LOC108351966". The record is from RNAcentral. Lineage: Eukaryota; Metazoa; Chordata; Mammalia; Rodentia; Muridae.